ACUUCGGAAAGGAGGUGGUUCGGCAGAUGUAUGCAUACCGGACGGAAGAGGUGGCUGCGGGCUAGCGGUCCGCCGUCAGACUCGGUUCGGCGCCGGACCAGCGUGUGCGCGACACACGCAGCCGGCCAGUUCCACGCAGUCACCCGACCCGCGAGUCGCCGGUACGUCCGGCCGGCUCCUCCCCCGGGAGGAACCAGACUCGCGGGUCGCUGCAU
This 215-nucleotide small RNA is filed under the name Streptomyces longwoodensis. RNAcentral's name for it is "Actinobacteria sRNA Ms_IGR-5". It matches the Rfam family "Actinobacteria sRNA Ms_IGR-5". Lineage: Bacteria; Bacillati; Actinomycetota; Actinomycetes; Kitasatosporales; Streptomycetaceae. The record is from Rfam by way of RNAcentral.